This 76-nucleotide transfer RNA is filed under the name Pseudomonas sp. WS 5111. RNAcentral's name for it is "tRNA-Val". It matches the Rfam family "tRNA". From Rfam's summary of the family: Transfer RNA (tRNA) molecules are approximately 80 nucleotides in length. Their secondary structure includes four short double-helical elements and three loops (D, anti-codon, and T loops). Further hydrogen bonds mediate the characteristic L-shaped molecular structure. tRNAs have two regions of fundamental functional importance: the anti-codon, which is responsible for specific mRNA codon recognition, and the 3' end, to which the tRNAs corresponding amino acid is attached (by aminoacyl-tRNA synthetases). tRNAs cope with the degeneracy of the genetic code in two manners: having more than one tRNA (with a specific anti-codon) for a particular amino acid; and 'wobble' base-pairing, i.e. permitting non-standard base-pairing at the 3rd anti-codon position. Lineage: Bacteria; Pseudomonadati; Pseudomonadota; Gammaproteobacteria; Pseudomonadales; Pseudomonadaceae. The record is from RNAcentral.
GGGUGAUUAGCUCAGCUGGGAGAGCAUCUGCCUUACAAGCAGCGGGUCGGCGGUUCGAUCCCGUCAUCACCCACCA